This 488-nucleotide ribosomal RNA is filed under the name uncultured bacterium. RNAcentral describes it as "bacterial SSU rRNA". It matches the Rfam family "Bacterial small subunit ribosomal RNA", at positions 29 to 516 of the family's 1533-position model. The record is from RNAcentral.
AAUGAACGCUGGCGGCGUGCCUCAGACAUGCAAGUCGUACGAGAAAGUGGGUUCGCCCAUGAGUAUAGUGGCGCACGGGUGAGUAAUAUUUAGGUAACGUACCUUCUCGCUGGGGAUAACUAGGCGAAAGCUUAGCUAAUACCGAAUGGUCCGGUCGGAGCUUCGGCUCUGAUCGGUAAAGCUUUACAGCGCGGGGAGAGCGGCCUGAAUCUGAUUAGCUAGUUGGUGAGGUAAUGGCUCACCAAGGCUACGAUCGGUAGCUGGUCUGAGAGGAUGACCAGCCACACUGGAACUGGAACACGGUCCAGACUCCUACGGGAGGCAGCAGUAAGGAAUAUUGCUCAAUGGCCGAAAGGCUGAAGCAGCAACGCCGCGUGGAGGAUGAAAUACUUUUGUAUGUAAACUCCUGUAAGAAGGGAAAAUAUUCCGAUUUAUCGGGAUUGAUUGUACCUUCAGAGUAAGCCCCGGCUAACUACGUGCCAGCAGCC